RNAcentral lists this long non-coding RNA (213 nucleotides) under Mytilus galloprovincialis (Mediterranean mussel). Lineage: Eukaryota; Metazoa; Mollusca; Bivalvia; Mytilida; Mytilidae. The record is from RNAcentral.
CACCCACAACAUCCUAUUAAAAUAACCUAAAUGUUAAUUAUUUGCUUUAUUUCAACUAUGGUCAAGCAUCUUUAAUUCAAAACCUGUUGAUUUUUAAAAUCAGUCAAUUUACAUGGUAUUUGCUGGAAGUUUCUGAACCAAUUUGGUGCGAAAUUUUACACUAUUGUUCAAGACUAGUAGGGUUAAGCUUGUAAACAAAUUACCCCCUCACCU